RNAcentral lists this transfer RNA (71 nucleotides) under Greenidea psidii. Its description in RNAcentral is "tRNA-Trp". The record is from RNAcentral. Lineage: Eukaryota; Metazoa; Arthropoda; Insecta; Hemiptera; Aphididae.
AAGAUUUUAAGUUAAAUAAUUUAAAACUAUUAAUCUUCAAAAUUAAAAAUAAAAAAUAAUUUUAAAUCUUA